UCGGGCCUGGGCCCCAGCGGAGGGGUUCAGCAAGCCCACGGCUUUGCCCCGAUCGGCACUGACGGGACACAGGAGCCGUUUGCUGAAGCUCAAAGGCCGCCCCUUCCCGGACCAGGAUGGCUCCGUGGCUAAGGCCCACCCUGGCUACGGAAGGGGGAGAGAGGUCGGCUCAGGCCUGACCAACCGUUCUCAGCCACCCGGAGAUCAGCCACGCUCCCAUCGGGAAAUGAGUGUGGGGGGAGCAGGCCCCCCGCUCACUGCCUGCCUCCCCUCCCACUCCUCUGCUGCCGCUUUUCCCUGUGCCCCCUCCCCCGUGGCCCUAGCCCCCUAGCUGCACUUCAUCUAGGGCCUCAGCCUGGCAGCGAUAGCCAGAAACGCCUGCUCUGCUGGCCUGCCCCACUCUGCACCAGCCACGGUGCUCCCUAGCAGGCCAGGGAGAAACGCAGCAUUGCUGAGCAGCCUGGCUUAUAUAGCCCCCCACCACCAGCCCUGAUUGGCUGCCCUAACAAGCUUCCCCCCAUUGGCUGUUUCACUAAGCUCUCUCCCCACUGGUUGGGGCUUCUGCACAGCUUCUCAGGCUGGUUUUUUAAUCAUUACCUGUGUGGCACCCCCCCCACAGCCCACCCGCCAAUGCCUUGUGAGGUAUCAUUUGAACCGGCCUGAGCUGGUGGAGUUCGUUGUUCUGUUUCACUGGGCGCGUGCAGGUGUCCGUGCAGGUGUGAGAUUGUGCUUGGGUUUGUUACAGACACGUGCUGAGUCUGGGGGCACCCCAAGGAGCAGUCGACACCCAGCCAGGGGGCAGUGACCGUCACCCGCUAUUCUCCAGCAGGGAGCUGCGACGGGCGCCGUGCGCGAGCACAGGGCUUUGGCAAGCGCCGGCAGGGCGACGUAUGACCAUUCCUCGGGCUCCGCAGCAGCAGGACUCCUCCGCCCGCCUCCCUGGCUUAGAGGUGUAUGAACCACACAAGCUGCAGCCCUCGGCGUGCCCCCCGGGCCCAGCACUAGGCGUUUAUUGAAGAACUCUGACACCGGAGAGACGGCGCGUUACAAUUUCUGGCACACACACGAUCUGCUGCCCUUCCCUGCCGUGAGCAGUGUGACUAGCUGGGAAAUCCCCUGCUCCGCAGAGCACACUGGGUGCGCGGCGGAUGGGACAGUCCAGCCUCAGGGUGAGAAUUGCUUUCUAGAACGCGUGGCUCCCCCCCUGGAAGGGCGUGGGGCUCAUUCUGCUGAGGGUGGUGGGGUGGGGGACUCCAGCGUCCCCUCUCAUUCCACACCGGCCCAGAGGCUGCCGGGCGCCAGGAGGG
This is a long non-coding RNA of Pelodiscus sinensis (Chinese soft-shelled turtle), 1307 nucleotides long. RefSeq lists it as uncharacterized. NCBI's taxonomy places the organism in Eukaryota, Metazoa, Chordata, Testudines, Trionychidae. The record is from RefSeq and is a predicted model, not a curated record.